RNAcentral lists this small RNA (97 nucleotides) under uncultured Methylomarinum sp. RNAcentral's name for it is "t44 RNA". It matches the Rfam family "t44 RNA". From Rfam's summary of the family: This family consists of a number of bacterial RNA genes of between 135 and 170 bases in length. The t44 gene is found between the map and rpsB genes in all species in the full alignment apart from Shigella flexneri. Lineage: Bacteria; Pseudomonadati; Pseudomonadota; Gammaproteobacteria; Methylococcales; Methylococcaceae. The record is from RNAcentral.
CAUUUUUGAUUUAAUUCUCACAUUUAUCGACACAGGCAGCAGGGUGCUGAUUAUGGUGACAUGAUUGGUUGCUGUUUGGGGUAAAUGGAGGCGUAAC